Molecule: ribosomal RNA, 445 nt
Filed under: uncultured bacterium
Lineage: Bacteria
Description: bacterial SSU rRNA
Rfam family: Bacterial small subunit ribosomal RNA
Source: RNAcentral
CCAGACUCCUACGGGAGGCAGCAGUGGGGAAUAUUGCACAAUGGGGGAAACCCUGAUGCAGCGACGCCGCGUGAGCGAUGAAGUAUUUCGGUAUGUAAAGCUCUAUCAGCAGGGAAGAAGAUGACGGUACCUGACUAAGAAGCCCCGGCUAACUACGUGCCAGCAGCCGCGGUAAUACGUAGGGGGCAAGCGUUAUCCGGAUUUACUGGGUGUAAAGGGAGCGUAGACGGCGAUGCAAGCCAGAUGUGAAAGCCCGUGGCUUAACCGCGGAACGGCUUUGGAAACUGCGGAACUGGAGUGCUGGAGAGGCAAGCGGAAUUCCUAGUGUAGCGGUGAAAUGCGUAGAUAUUAGGAGGAACACCAGUGGCGAAGGCGGCUUGCUGGACAGUAACUGACGUUGAGGCUCGAAAGCGUGGGGAGCGAACAGGAUUAGAUACCCGCGUAC